This 101-nucleotide signal recognition particle RNA is filed under the name bacterium. RNAcentral describes it as "signal recognition particle sRNA small type". It matches the Rfam family "Bacterial small signal recognition particle RNA". From Rfam's summary of the family: The signal recognition particle (SRP) is a universally conserved ribonucleoprotein involved in the co-translational targeting of proteins to membranes. Archaeal SRP consists of a 7S RNA and homologues of the eukaryotic SRP19 and SRP54 proteins. The record is from RNAcentral.
GGCCAGGCCCAGCGCAACCCGAACUUGUGAACCCCGUCAGGACCGGAAGGUAGCAGCGGUAAGCAGUGUCAGGCUCUGUGCCGCAGAUCCGCCUGGCCCGA